This 489-nucleotide long non-coding RNA is filed under the name Bos indicus x Bos taurus (hybrid cattle). RNAcentral's name for it is "lncRNA (ENSBIXG00005009013.1)". The record is from RNAcentral. Lineage: Eukaryota; Metazoa; Chordata; Mammalia; Artiodactyla; Bovidae.
UGUAAUUUACCCAGAGUCUGGGAGAUUUUUGUGUCUGAGGGCAACUCAGAAGACCCAUUCCAUCAAGCUACUCUGAACAUGGCUUUAUAUUUCAGACACAACGGAGUCAACGUGGAUGGUGAGGAGCCCUGUGGUCAAGAGUGGGAUGAGACAUCUUCAAGAUGUCAUUUGGAACCAAAAUUAGAGACAAAUGUGUCCCCUGUCUCCUUUCUGGAAGCACAGCCUCCUCAAAGCAGCUAUGCUUAAUUCAGAUACAAAGCCCUUAUCCCUCCCGGGUCCACCUGCAGCCCCGCCGCUUUCAUCAUUUCUCCCUGGAAUUCAUUCGGAUCAUAGUCGUUUUCAAGGGACAGUCAAUUCUCAUGGAAGGCUUUCACCAACUCUUGCCGGUCUUGUAUAAGGAGCCAACUAGAACUGCAGCAGAUGAAUGAGAGUUCUGCUGCACUCGCUCCUUCCAGGGAGCGCCAGAGGACUGGAAGGGGAAAGGUACGA